UACAGAGGUGGCAAGCGUUGUUCGGAAUUACUGGGCGUAAAGGGCGCGUAGGCGGCCUUCUAAGUCAGACGUGAAAUCCCCCGGCUUAACCUGGGAACUGCGUCUGAUGCUGGGAGGCUUGAGUAUGGGAGAGGGAUGUAGAAUUCCAGGUGUAGCGGUGAAAUGCGUAGAUAUCUGGAGGAAUACCGGUGGCGAAGGCGGGACUCUGGGCCGAUACUGACGCUGAGGAGCGAAAGCGUGGGGAGCGAACAGG
This 253-nucleotide ribosomal RNA is filed under the name uncultured bacterium. RNAcentral's name for it is "partial 16S ribosomal RNA". It matches the Rfam family "Bacterial small subunit ribosomal RNA", at positions 524 to 776 of the family's 1533-position model. The record is from RNAcentral.